UCAGCUUCUUCUCUUACCCCUGUGAAGGGGUCGUCAUACGUCUCUCUAUCCGCAUGAAACUUGCUUCACCUCCUCCUCAACCCGCCUUCUUCUUUGUUCCAGCACCGCUGCACGCUACCUCCAAUCUUUUCUCCUCCUUCGUCGUUCGUGCAAGCCGCCACCAUCACGCCUGUAGACCGUCGGCCAUCUCAAUCCCACUUCCUUCUCUCUUCGCGCCGUGCACCAGACCCGAGCCGACCCGAGCCAUCUCCUCUUUCUAGUCGAGCCUCACUUGUUUCUCCCUUGUUCACCGUCGUUCGAAUCACUUGGUGUUCUGCCGCUUUUUCCUCGUUGUAAGUUUUGUGGUGUUAGCGCUCGAAUUUCUAGGAUUUCCGACAAGCUUGAUUUGGAGUCCGUUUUGCCAUUUACUUGGGUUGGUUCGUUGGAUCUUGAUACUGGUUAAGGAGCACAACUAAAUCAAAGGUAAGGGCAUCGUACGAGGCAGACCGGCGAGGGGCAAGAAGGAUACGUGAAGGCCAUAUGGGAAUGUCAAGUUUUAUUGCUUCUGGUAGGGGUACAGCGAGGGGCAGACCGACGAGAGGCAGGAAGGAUGCGUGAAGGCCAUAUGGACGCGUCUGGUUUUCUUAAUCGCUUCCGCUAUGUAUUUUGUCUGAAUAUUUUGACUUGUGAUUUUGAACUGGUGCCUUGAUAUUUUUAUUUUGUGACUUUCUUGAUUUAUUCGAAAUAGGGCCCGAAACUGUUUUUUUUGUAAGGUUUCUAAUGUUUUAAUGAAUCGUAACUGGUCUGUUUUAAA
Molecule: long non-coding RNA, 793 nt
Organism: Cucumis melo (muskmelon)
Lineage: Eukaryota; Viridiplantae; Streptophyta; Magnoliopsida; Cucurbitales; Cucurbitaceae
Exons: 5
Source: RefSeq, a predicted model, not a curated record